This 468-nucleotide ribosomal RNA is filed under the name uncultured bacterium. RNAcentral describes it as "partial 16S ribosomal RNA". It matches the Rfam family "Bacterial small subunit ribosomal RNA", at positions 28 to 507 of the family's 1533-position model. The record is from RNAcentral.
GACGAACGCUGGCGGCGUGCUUAACACAUGCAAGUCGAACGGAAAGGCCCUGCUUUUGUGGGGUGCUCGAGUGGCGAACGGGUGAGUAACACGCGAGUAACCUGCCCUUGACUUUGGGAUAACUUCAGGAAACUGGGGCUAAUACCGGAUAGGAGCUCCUGCUGCAUGGUGGGGGUUGGAAAGUUUCGGCGGUUGGGGAUGGACUCGCGGCUUAUCAGCUUGUUGGUGGGGUAGUGGCUUACCAAGGCUUUGACGGGUAGCCGGCCUGAGAGGGUGACCGGCCACAUGGGGACUGAGAUACGGCCCAGACGCCUACGGGAGGCAGCAGUGGGGAAUAUUGCACAAUGGGCGGAAGCCUGAUGCGGAAACGCCGCGUGCGGGAUGACGGCCUUCGGGUUAUAAACCGCUGUCGCCUGUGACGAAGCGUGAGUGACGGUAAUGGGUAAAGAAGCACCGGCUAACUACGUG